This 468-nucleotide ribosomal RNA is filed under the name uncultured bacterium. RNAcentral's name for it is "partial 16S ribosomal RNA". It matches the Rfam family "Bacterial small subunit ribosomal RNA", at positions 28 to 507 of the family's 1533-position model. The record is from RNAcentral.
GACGAACGCUGGCGGCGUGCUUAACACAUGCAAGUCGAACGGAAAGGCCCUGCUUUUGUGGGCUGCUCGAGUGGCGAACGGGUGAGUAACACGUGAGUAACCUGCCCUUGACUUUGGGAUAACUUCAGGAAACUGGGGUUACUACCGGAUAGCAGACCCUGCUGCAGUGUGGGGGUUGGAACGUCUCGGCGGUUGGGGCUGGAUUCGCGGCUUACCAGCUAGUUGGUGGGGGAGUGGCUUACCAAGGCUGUGAAGGAUAGGCGGCCUGGGAGGGUGGCCGGCGACAAGGGUACUACGAGAGGGAGCAGACGGCAAUGGGGGACAGUGGGGGGAAGCAUGAUCCAACGAGCGGAAGUCGGAGGCGGAAACGCCGGGGUCGGGAUGACGGCUUUCGGGUAGAGAACCGCUUUCGCCUGUGACGAAGCGUGAGUGACGGUAAUGGGAGAAGAAGCACCGGCUAACUACGUG